This 76-nucleotide transfer RNA is filed under the name Xanthomonas arboricola pv. pruni str. MAFF 311562. RNAcentral describes it as "tRNA-Arg". It matches the Rfam family "tRNA". Rfam says of the family: Transfer RNA (tRNA) molecules are approximately 80 nucleotides in length. Their secondary structure includes four short double-helical elements and three loops (D, anti-codon, and T loops). Lineage: Bacteria; Pseudomonadati; Pseudomonadota; Gammaproteobacteria; Lysobacterales; Lysobacteraceae. The record is from RNAcentral.
GGCCCCGUGGCACAAUUGGAUAGCGCGCGUCCCUCCUAAGGACGAGGUUGCUGGUUCGAACCAGCCGGGGUCACCA